AGCUAAAGUUGAGAAGGUAGAUGAAUCUAUAACUAGCAAAGGAAAGGGAAAAAUCUACAAGUGACGAAGACUUGUAAUUUUGAUUAUCGUUAUGAUGUUAGACUUUUAAUUUGAUGAUAGACAUAUAUUUAAUGAUGUGUUGUAAUAAUUUAAUUUUCGCACUUAAAUGAUGUUAAGGUUAGACAACCUGGGAUGUUUUUGGAUUAAAUGAUGUAACCCUAUUUAAAGGGAGGAAUUAUGAUUUUAUUUUAUUAUUUUUGGGUAGAUAAAUAUGAAUGUUGAAAAGU
Molecule: long non-coding RNA, 287 nt
Filed under: Panax ginseng (ginseng)
Lineage: Eukaryota; Viridiplantae; Streptophyta; Magnoliopsida; Apiales; Araliaceae
Description: long non-coding RNA (PGIN_LNC014317)
Source: RNAcentral